GGAGAGGUGGGUGAGUGGCUGAAACCAACGGUUUGCUAAACCGUCAUACUCUUAACCGGGUAUCCCGGGUUCGAAUCCCGGCCUCUCCGCAA
This 92-nucleotide transfer RNA is filed under the name Ignavibacteria bacterium RBG_16_36_9. RNAcentral's name for it is "tRNA-Ser". It matches the Rfam family "tRNA". From Rfam's summary of the family: Transfer RNA (tRNA) molecules are approximately 80 nucleotides in length. Their secondary structure includes four short double-helical elements and three loops (D, anti-codon, and T loops). Further hydrogen bonds mediate the characteristic L-shaped molecular structure. tRNAs have two regions of fundamental functional importance: the anti-codon, which is responsible for specific mRNA codon recognition, and the 3' end, to which the tRNAs corresponding amino acid is attached (by aminoacyl-tRNA synthetases). tRNAs cope with the degeneracy of the genetic code in two manners: having more than one tRNA (with a specific anti-codon) for a particular amino acid; and 'wobble' base-pairing, i.e. permitting non-standard base-pairing at the 3rd anti-codon position. Lineage: Bacteria; Pseudomonadati; Ignavibacteriota; Ignavibacteria. The record is from RNAcentral.